CACGUAGUUAGCCGUGACUUUCUAAGUAAUUACCGUCAAAUAAAGGCCAGUUACUACCUCUAUCUUUCUUCACUACCAACAGAGCUUUACGAGCCGAAACCCUUCUUCACUCACGCGGCGUUGCUCCAUCAGACUUUCGCCCAUUGUGGAAGAUUCCCUACUGCUGCCUCCCGUAGGAGUUUGGGCCGUGUCUCAGUCCCAAUGUGGCCGAUCAGUCUCUCAACUCGGCUAUGCAUCAUUGCCUUGGUAAGCCGUUACCUUACCAACUAGCUAAUGCACCGCAGGUCCAUCCAAGAGUGAUAGCAGAACCAUCUUUCAAACUCUAGACAUGCGUCUAGUGUUGUUAUCCGGUAUUAGCAUCUGUUUCCAGGUGUUAUCCCAGUCUCUUGGGCAGGUUACCCACGUGUUACUCACCCGUCCGCCGCUCGCUUGUAUCUAGUUUCAUUUAGUGCAAGCACUAAAAUCAUCUAGGCAAGCUCGCUCGA
This 485-nucleotide ribosomal RNA is filed under the name uncultured Lactobacillus sp. Its description in RNAcentral is "partial 16S ribosomal RNA". Lineage: Bacteria; Bacillati; Bacillota; Bacilli; Lactobacillales; Lactobacillaceae. The record is from RNAcentral.